UAGAAGUACGAGGACGCUUCCUUCGGGAAGCGAGCGUACACAGGUGCUGCAUGGCUGUCGUCAGCUCGUGUCGUGAGAUGUUGGGUUAAGUCCCGCAACGAGCGCAACCCUUGCCUUUAGUUGCCAGCAGUUCGGCUGGGCACUCUAAAGGGACUGCCGGUGUUAAACCGGAGGAAGGUGGGGAUGACGUCAAGUCCUCAUGGCCUUUAUGACCAGGGCUACACACGUACUACAAUGGCCGAUACAAAGGGCAGCGACACUGCGAGGUGAAGCCAAUCCCGUAAAAUCGGUCUCAGUCCGGAUUGGAGUCUGCAACUCGACUCCAUGAAGUUGGAAUCGCUAGUAAUCGUGGAUCAGCAUGCCACGGUGAAUACGUUCCCGGGCCUU
This 387-nucleotide ribosomal RNA is filed under the name uncultured Desulfobulbus sp. Its description in RNAcentral is "bacterial SSU rRNA". It matches the Rfam family "Bacterial small subunit ribosomal RNA", at positions 1001 to 1382 of the family's 1533-position model. The record is from RNAcentral. Lineage: Bacteria; Pseudomonadati; Thermodesulfobacteriota; Desulfobulbia; Desulfobulbales; Desulfobulbaceae.